RNAcentral lists this ribosomal RNA (472 nucleotides) under uncultured bacterium. RNAcentral describes it as "bacterial SSU rRNA". It matches the Rfam family "Bacterial small subunit ribosomal RNA", at positions 328 to 793 of the family's 1533-position model. The record is from RNAcentral.
GAAGUGCACUCCUACGGGAGGCAGCAGUGGGGAAUAUUGCACAAUGGGCGCAAGCCUGAUGCAGCCAUGCCGCGUGUAUGAAGAAGGCCUUCGGGUUGUAAAGUACUUUCAGCAGUGAGGAAGGUGGGUAUGUUAAUAGCAUAUUCAUUUGACGUUAGCUGCAGAAGAAGCACCGGCUAACUCCGUGCCAGCAGCCGCGGUAAUACGGAGGGUGCGAGCGUUAAUCGGAAUUACUGGGCGUAAAGCGCAUGCAGGUGGUUUGUUAAGUCAGAUGUGAAAGCCCGGGGCUCAACCUCGGAAUUGCAUCUGAAACUGGCAAACUAGAGUACUGUAGAGGGGGUAGAAUUUCAGGUGUAGCGGUGAAAUGCGUAGAGAUCUGAAGGAAUACCGGUGGCGAAGGCGGCCCCCUGGACAGAUACUGACACUCAGAUGCGAAAGCGUGGGGAGCAAACAGGAUUAGAUACCCUGGUAG